Molecule: ribosomal RNA, 800 nt
Filed under: uncultured bacterium
Lineage: Bacteria
Description: bacterial SSU rRNA
Rfam family: Bacterial small subunit ribosomal RNA
Source: RNAcentral
ACACAUGCAAGUCGAACGGAGAUUACAGGCGGAAGUUUUCGGAUGGAAGCUUGUAAACUUAGUGGCGGACGGGUGAGUAACACGUGAGCAACCUGCCUAUCAGAGGGGGAUAACGAUUGGAAACGAUCGCUAAUACCGCAUGACAUAGCGGAAUCGCAUGGUUCUGUUAUCAAAGAUUUUAUCGCUGAUAGGUGGGCUCGCGUCCGAUUAGAUAGUUGGUGGGGUAACGGCCUACCAAGUCGACGAUCGGUAGCCGGACUGAGAGGUCGAACGGCCACAUUGGGACUGAGACACGGCCCAGACUCCUACGGGAGGCAGCAGUGGGGGAUAUUGCACAAUGGGGGAAACCCUGAUGCAGCGACGCCGCGUGAGGGAAGACGGUCCUCUGGAUUGUAAACCUCUGUCUUCGGGGACGAAACGAGACGGUACCCGAGGAGGAAGCCACGGCUAACUACGUGCCAGCAGCCGCGGUAAUACGUAGGUGGCAAGCGUUGUCCGGAAUUACUGGGUGUAAAGGGAGCGUAGGCGGGCAGGCAAGUCAGGCGUGAAAUAUAUCGGCUCAACCGGUAACGGCGCUUGAAACUGCAGGUCUUGAGUGAAGUAGAGGUUGGCGGAAUUCCUAGUGUAGCGGUGAAAUGCGUAGAUAUUAGGAGGAACACCAGUGGCGAAGGCGGCCAACUGGGCUUUUACUGACGCUGAGGCUCGAAAGUGUGGGGAGCAAACAGGAUUAGAUACCCUGGUAGUCCACACCGUAAACGAUGAUUACUAGGUGUGGGGGGACUGACCCCUUCCGUGCCGGA